UAAUACGUAGGGGGCAAGCGUUGUCCGGAUUUAUUGGGCGUAAAGAGCGUGUAGGCGGCCAGGUAGGUCUGCUGUGAAAACUCGAGGCUUAACCUCGAGCUGUCGGCGGAAACCAUCUGGCUAGAGUCCGGAAGAGGAGAAUGGAAUUCCCGGUGUAGCGGUGAAAUGCGCAGAUAUCGGGAAGAACACCCGUGGCGAAGGCGGUUCUCUGGGACGGUACUGACGCUGAGACGCGAAAGCGUGGGGAGCGAACAGGAUUAGAUACCCUGGUAGUCCACGCCGUAAACGAUGAGUGCUAGGUGUGGGGGGUGUCGACUCCCUCCGUGCCGCAGCUAACGCAUUAAGCACUCCGCCUGGGGAGUACGGCCGCAAGGCUA
This 377-nucleotide ribosomal RNA is filed under the name uncultured bacterium. RNAcentral describes it as "bacterial SSU rRNA". It matches the Rfam family "Bacterial small subunit ribosomal RNA", at positions 521 to 896 of the family's 1533-position model. The record is from RNAcentral.